AGCAGCCGCGGUAAUUCCAGCUCCAAUAGCGUAUAUUAAAGUUGUUGCAGUUAAAAAGCUCGUAGUUGAAUUUCGGGGUCAGCAAGUUGGUCGUGCCACUGGUAUGUACUGGCUUUGCUGAUUCCUCCUUCUUGAAGAACUGUGAUGCUAUUAAUUUGGUGUUGCAGGGAAACAGGACUGUUACUUUGAAAAAAUUGAGUGUUUAAAGCAGGCUAACGCUUGAAUACAUUAGCAUGGAAUAAUGAAAUAGGACGUUUGAUCCUAUUUUGUUGGUUUCUAGGGUUGACGUAAUGAUUAAUAGGGAUAGUUGGGGGCAUUAGUAUUCAAUUGUCAGAGGUGAAAUUCUUGGAUUUAUUGAAGACUAACUACUGCGAAAGCAUUUGCCAAGGAUGUUUUCAUUAAUCAAGAACGAAAGUUAGGGGAUCGAAGACGAUCAGAUACCGUCGUAGU
Molecule: ribosomal RNA, 450 nt
Filed under: uncultured Glomeromycotina
Lineage: Eukaryota; Fungi; Glomeromycota
Description: SSU rRNA
Rfam family: Eukaryotic small subunit ribosomal RNA
Source: RNAcentral